GCUCAGAGCGAACGCUGGCGGCAGGCUUAACACAUGCAAGUCGAGCGGACCUUUCGGGGUCAGCGGCGGACGGGUGAGUAACGCGUGGGAACGUGCCUUCCGGUUCGGAAUAACCCUGGGAAACUAGGGCUAAUACCGGAUACGCCCUUAUGGGGAAAGGUUUACUGCCGGAAGAUCGGCCCGCGUCUGAUUAGCUAGUUGGUGGGGUAACGGCCUACCAAGGCGACGAUCAGUAGCUGGUCUGAGAGGAUGAUCAGCCACACUGGGACUGAGACACGGCCCAGACUCCUACGGGAGGCAGCAGUGGGGAAUAUUGGACAAUGGGCGCAAGCCUGAUCCAGCCAUGCCGCGUGAGUGAUGAAGGCCUUAGGGUUGUAAAGCUCUUUUAUCCGGGACGAUAAUGACGGUACCGGAGGAAUAAGCCCCGGCUAACUUCGUGCCAGCAGCCGCGGUAAUACGAAGGGGGCUAGCGUUGCUCGGAAUCACUGGGCGUAAAGGGCGCGUAGGCGGCGUUUUAAGUCGGGGGUGAAAGCCUGUGGCUCAACCACAGAAUGGCCUUCGAUACUGGGACGCUUGAGUAUGGUAGAGGUUGGUGGAACUGCGAGUGUAGAGGUGAAAUUCGUAGAUAUUCGCAAGAACACCGGUGGCGAAGGCGG
Molecule: ribosomal RNA, 656 nt
Filed under: uncultured Methylobacterium sp.
Lineage: Bacteria; Pseudomonadati; Pseudomonadota; Alphaproteobacteria; Hyphomicrobiales; Methylobacteriaceae
Description: bacterial SSU rRNA
Rfam family: Bacterial small subunit ribosomal RNA
Source: RNAcentral